This 468-nucleotide ribosomal RNA is filed under the name uncultured bacterium. RNAcentral's name for it is "partial 16S ribosomal RNA". It matches the Rfam family "Bacterial small subunit ribosomal RNA", at positions 28 to 507 of the family's 1533-position model. The record is from RNAcentral.
GACGAACGCUGGCGGUGUGCUUAACACAUGCGAGUCGAACGGUAAGGCCCUUUCGGGGGUACACGAGUGGCGAACGGGUGAGUAACACGUGAGUAACCUGCCCUCAUCUCUGGGAUAACAGUCGGAAACGGUUGCUAAUACUGGAUAUGAGCUUGCAAGGCAUCUUGUGGGUUGGAAAGAUUUUUUUUGGUUGGGGAUGGACUCGCGGCCUAUCAGCUUGUUGGUGAGGUAGUGGCUCACCAAGGCUUCGACGGGUAGCCGGCCUGGGAGGGCGACCGGCCACAUUGGGACUGGGAUACGGCCCAAACUCCUACGGGAGGCAGCAGUGGGGAAUAUUGCACAAUGGACGGAAGUCUGAUGCAGCAACGCCGCGUGCGGGAUGACGGCCUUCGGGUUGUAAACCGCUUUCAAUUGUGACGAAGCUUUUUUGUGACGGUAGCAGUAGAAGAAGCACCGGCUAACUACGUG